Molecule: long non-coding RNA, 376 nt
Filed under: Vigna radiata
Lineage: Eukaryota; Viridiplantae; Streptophyta; Magnoliopsida; Fabales; Fabaceae
Description: long non-coding RNA (VRAD_LNC003162)
Source: RNAcentral
UUUUUUUUUUUUCAGGAAUUGGUUUGUGUGAUUAAUAAAUAAAAUGAAGUUUGAAGAGAAAAAGGGUGAGAAGUGGAGGAAGAGGGGGCAUCCAUAAAAGGUAGUGAAGGGUGGGGGACAAGGGAAGAGGAGUCACGUGGGGAACACAUCGAAAUUCACGUGCAUGAGCAUGUCAUGUUGUGCCACGUGGUCCCAUCAUUGCCCCGUGCGUUUCAUUUUGUGUCUUCCUAACCAGACACGCAAUCUCCCAAUAAUCAUUGGAUACUCCUCUUAUCUAUCCUUCACACGCUACUUCCAUGCGUGUCCUUCACUUUCCUCCCGAGUUUUUUUUAUCGCACUUCUUUGCCAUCAAAUUUAUUUUAAUUGCUAAUACGGG